RNAcentral lists this long non-coding RNA (1621 nucleotides) under Vigna radiata. RNAcentral's name for it is "long non-coding RNA (VRAD_LNC017160)". The record is from RNAcentral. Lineage: Eukaryota; Viridiplantae; Streptophyta; Magnoliopsida; Fabales; Fabaceae.
UUGAAUCCAAUUUUUUGGUGCCAUUAUUGUUUGGGAUAUACGAAUAUAAUUGUAUGAUAAAAUGUUACGGAUGCGAUUGCUUUAGACAAUGGUUAUGGAAAGGAUGAAGAUUCCAAAGAAAAAGCGAUCAUCGUUGACAAUAACAAAUUACCACCAGUUCUUCCAACCUCAAUCAUCACCCGAUCAACAUUCAGAAGAUUCUUUAUAGUACAAACUGGGAAGUUUGAACAAAACAACAAAUUAGAUUUAAAUAAUUUAUAAAAACAGUAACUCAACCAUCUUUUGCAGACAUUAUAUUUAUGCAAAUAGGAUUGCCAGUCACUUACACAUAAUCAUACAGCAGUAACAAUUCUUAUUCAUGCCUAUAUUAGGUUGAGAUAUUUCCAGAAGAUUGGCUGGGGCUUUCUGUCUUGGGAUAUUUAUUAAAUGAAAACUAACACAACAACACCUACAAGAGGGAUAUAAAAUCAAUCGAAUCAUGCACCAGCCAAAAAUACUUCACUACCAUCACUGAAAAGUAUCACUCAGAAAAUAAAUUGUUUCUAUAUUACCUCUCCUUUGGAAAAGCAAGGGUGCCAAACAAUUUCAAUGGGAAGCNUGAUAAUAUAUACCCGAGACUGGCACGAUCCCGGUGAGGGUCGUAUCCACUAAAACUUGCUAAGUGCUGAAGAAAGACUUGGACUAAUGUGGACAGUCUUAUCUGGAAAAUCAAACAUCUUUCAUGUUCUUCUUGCAAUCAUAUCUGCAGAAGAAGCACCCACAAACAUCCCUGCAAUAAGUACACAAUAUGNGCAAGGGAAGAAUUGAAAAAGAAAGAUAACUUUUAUAAGAUCAAACUCUGAUAUUGAAUGACANAAUCCAUUUAUUAAACAAUUUAGUAAAAAACUAAAGCCAAUAAAAUAAUACAACGGACUAUGAAAAAGAAAACACCUCCACAUGCUUCAAAUAAUCUGGAGCAUCUGAUUGAUGCAUGUAUUUCACACCUUCAGCAGCAUAAAAUUCAGAUAUGCAUACAAGGAAUGGCUUUUCAAAGCUUUCUGGAUCAUACCAUUCAUCAAAGAUAACACUUUAAACUCUAAAACUCACAACAAAUAUAACUCACAAAAUAUUGAUCAAUAAAACUUUGGUUCAUUAUUCUCUCCAGUCAAUUAGUAAUAUAAUUGGAUGUCAACAUAACAUGUUCAAACAACUAUGUAUAAUGAAAAGAAUUACCUUGGUGGGAAGUGGUAAUAUUACCAUUGAUUCAGAGUUGAUUUAGCUUUUGAUCUUCUGGUCCCUCACCAGACUUCACGAGGCAAUAAGCUUGGGAAAUCAACAAAAGUACUNCCACCCCAGGUUGAAGAAAAAAGGGAACAAAGAAAUAAAUUAUAUAAUAGUAAUACCUUAAUUAGAUGGCUUGGACACGUAUUUUUCCUAAUUCGUUGUACCUGCUGGUUAGCAACAAGGCCAGGGCACUUGUAGUUACUUUUAUUUGAUAUUCUCCCUAUAUAUAGCCUGCAAUCAUAUAUCACAUUGAAGAAAAUUGAACUUGUUUAUGCAUAUCUAAGCAUACCUUAUUGAUCCUUCUCAUGUUUCACAAAGGUAAAAGUAACAUAAGCAAACCUAUUGUCAUGUCCAUCCG